Molecule: ribosomal RNA, 465 nt
Filed under: Vreelandella stevensii
Lineage: Bacteria; Pseudomonadati; Pseudomonadota; Gammaproteobacteria; Oceanospirillales; Halomonadaceae
Description: partial 16S ribosomal RNA
Rfam family: Bacterial small subunit ribosomal RNA
Source: RNAcentral
CCUACGGGGGGCAGCAGUGGGGAAUAUUGGACAAUGGGGGCAACCCUGAUCCAGCCAUGCCGCGGGUGUGAAGAAGGCCCUCGGGUGGUAAAGCACUUUCAGUGAGGAAGAACGCCUGGUGGUUAAUACCCAUCAGGAAAGACAUCACUCACAGAAGAAGCACCGGCUAACUCCGUGCCAGCAGCCGCGGUAAUACGGAGGGUGCGAGCGUUAAUCGGAAUUACUGGGCGUAAAGCGCGCGUAGGUGGCUUGAUAAGCCGGUUGUGAAAGCCCCGGGCUCAACCUGGGAACGGCAUCCGGAACUGUCAAGCUAGAGUGCAGGAGAGGAAGGUAGAAUUCCCGGUGUAGCGGUGAAAUGCGUAGAGAUCGGGAGGAAUACCAGUGGCGAAGGCGGCCUUCUGGACUGACACUGACACUGAGGUGCGAAAGCGUGGGUAGCAAACAGGAUUAGAUACCCGUGUAGUC